This 399-nucleotide long non-coding RNA is filed under the name Vigna radiata. RNAcentral describes it as "long non-coding RNA (VRAD_LNC003437)". Lineage: Eukaryota; Viridiplantae; Streptophyta; Magnoliopsida; Fabales; Fabaceae. The record is from RNAcentral.
UGUUUCACUCGAUUACUCAAGUGUUUAAGGUAGCACUCCAACACUCUAUCAUUCACAAGUCACAUGAAACAAAAUUGUCAUUCAUCUAAAACAACCAAAAUUCUUACAUGCAAAUGCCAUCAAAAGGACUUUUCCAAGGCUUGUAAUGAGGCUGGGCUAACAAGAAAAUUGGUUUUUCUGGAAUGCAAAGUCCUUGAGUUCAGAGAGCUAUCAUAAUAUCAACAUUCAAGCACGACUCUCUUCCUCACCAAUCUCUCUUAUUCCCAACUUUUUCCCUUUUCUUUUGCACUGAGCCCCUCUUCAUGGUUUUCUUCUUUUCUUUUCUUUUUCUCAUGUAUUUUUCUUUCACACAUUUGAGCUCAAUGCUUUUCAAGUGCCUUCCAAUUUCCCCCAUGCAAC